CCUACGGGAGGCAGCAGUAGGGAAUCUUUCACAAUGGGCGAAAGCCUGAUGGAGCAACGCCGCGUGCAGGAUGAAGGCCUUCGGGUUGUAAACUGUUUUUAUAAGCGAGAAAUAUGAUGGUAACUUAUGAAUAAGGAUCGGCUAACUACGUGCCAGCAGCCGCGGUCAUACGUAGGAUCCGAGCAUUAUCCGGAGUGACUGGGUGUAAAGAGUUGCGUAGGUGGCAUAAGAAGUAGCUAGUGAAAUCGGGUGGCUCAACCAUUCAGACUAUUAGCUAAACUGUUAAGCUCGAGACCGUUAGGGGUAACUGGAAUUUCUGGUGUAGGAGUGAAAUCCGUAGAUAUUAGAAGGAACACCAAUGGCGUAGGCAGGUUACUGGGACGGUUCUGACACUAAGGCACGAAAGCGUAGGGAGCAAACGGGAUUAGAUACCCUUGUAGUC
RNAcentral lists this ribosomal RNA (442 nucleotides) under uncultured bacterium. Its description in RNAcentral is "partial 16S ribosomal RNA". It matches the Rfam family "Bacterial small subunit ribosomal RNA", at positions 338 to 795 of the family's 1533-position model. The record is from RNAcentral.